GAUGAACGCUGGCGGCGUGCCUAAUACAUGCCAGUCGAGCGAACAGACGAGGAGCUUGCUCCUUUGACGUUAGCGGCGGACGGGUGAGUAACACGUAGGUAACCUACCUAUAAGACUGGGAUAACUUCGGGAAACCGGAGCUAAUACCGGAUAAUAUUUCGAACCGCAUGGUUCGAUAGUGAAAGAUGGCUUUGCUAUCACUUAUAGAUGGACCUGCGCCGUAUUAGCUAGUUGGUAAGGUAACGGCUUACCAAGGCAACGAUACGUAGCCGACCUGAGAGGGUGAUCGGCCACACUGGAACUGAGACACGGUCCAGACUCCUACGGGAGGCAGCAGUAGGGAAUCUUCCGCAAUGGGCGAAAGCCUGAGGGAGCAACGCCGCGUGAGUGAUGAAGGUCUUCGGAUCGUAAAACUCUGUUAUUAGGGAAGAACAAACGUGUAAGUAACUGUGCACGUCUUGACGGUACCUAAUCAGAAAGCCACGGCUAACUACGUG
Molecule: ribosomal RNA, 497 nt
Filed under: uncultured bacterium
Lineage: Bacteria
Description: partial 16S ribosomal RNA
Rfam family: Bacterial small subunit ribosomal RNA
Source: RNAcentral